ACAAACCAACAACAGACUACAAAUGAUAAUAAUGAUUUUCUGGCCUUGUGGUUCUCCUUUGAAAGUUAACAUUUUUGUGUGAUGUCUUCUUCGAAAGUGUCUUCUAACAAAAGACAAUUUAAGCAAGAGGGUGGUGAUUCCGGCAACUGCUAAAUCUUGUUUAGGAAAUUGCAGCAAUCUGGAGGAUGCGACUCAUCUUUUUCUUCAUUUCAACAAUGUCCAUCAUGGAUCACUAUUAUGACUGGUUAGACUUAGUCAUGUACCUCCUUACAAUAUCUCAU
RNAcentral lists this long non-coding RNA (281 nucleotides) under Medicago truncatula (barrel medic). RNAcentral describes it as "long non-coding RNA (MTRU_LNC006333)". Lineage: Eukaryota; Viridiplantae; Streptophyta; Magnoliopsida; Fabales; Fabaceae. The record is from RNAcentral.